GACGAACGCUGGCGGCGUGCUUAACACAUGCAAGUCGAACGGAAAGGCCCUGCUUUGGUGGGGUGCUCUAGUGGCGAACGGGUGAGUAACACGUGAGUAACCUGCCCUUGACUUUGGGAUAACUUCAUGAAACUGGGUCUAAUACCGGAUAGGAGCUCCUGCUGCAUGGUGGGGGUUGGAAAGUUUCGGCGGUUGGUGAUGGACUCGCGCCUUAUCAGCUUGUUGGUGGGGUAGUGUCUUACCAAGGCUUUGACGGGUAGCCGGCCUGAGCGGGUGACCGGCCACACUGGGACUGAGAUACGGCACAGACUCCUCCGGGAGGCAGCAGUGCGGAAUAUUGCACUAUGGGCGGAAGCCUGAUGCAGCCACGCCGCGUGCGGGAUGACGGCAAUCGGGUUGUAUACCGAUUUCGCCUGUGACGAAGCGUGAGUGACGGUAAUGGGUAAAGAAGCACCGGCUAACUCCGUG
Molecule: ribosomal RNA, 468 nt
Filed under: uncultured bacterium
Lineage: Bacteria
Description: partial 16S ribosomal RNA
Rfam family: Bacterial small subunit ribosomal RNA
Source: RNAcentral